AAGUGGGACAAUCAUUUUGGCUACUUAUUAAAUAUGUCAACUUAACGCUCAACACUAAAAUUAUACAGCAAAAGCUUCAAGCUCUAAUUAUUGCUUUGUAGCCCAUGUGACAUAUUGUUUGUCUUUGUAGUUUAAAGUCAUAGCUUGUGGGCUUUGUUGAGAAAAUACAGUGAGGAAAAGGUAUCCCAACAACCAAGCGUCCAAAACCUACAUACUGCUCCCUCAGAGCUUCAAAUAUAAAUGGAAAAUAGUGAAGGACAGUGAAGAGCAACACAGAAGUCACAUCCAUUCGGUUAAACUGGUCUCUGGGUCAGUACAUCAUCACUGGUGCAUUUAUUACCACACAUUUUGAUGCUUUAUACUUGGCUUCAAAUAUUUACGGCAGAUGCACUGUGUGAUGCUUUGUCAGUUUUUCAAUAAAGGUAAAGACAGCAACUGAGGUAUGUACCUA
Molecule: long non-coding RNA, 451 nt
Filed under: Felis catus (domestic cat)
Lineage: Eukaryota; Metazoa; Chordata; Mammalia; Carnivora; Felidae
Description: lncRNA (ENSFCAG00000051670.1)
Source: RNAcentral